Molecule: transfer RNA, 88 nt
Filed under: Lysobacter sp. OAE881
Lineage: Bacteria; Pseudomonadati; Pseudomonadota; Gammaproteobacteria; Lysobacterales; Lysobacteraceae
Description: tRNA-Ser
Rfam family: tRNA
About the family: Transfer RNA (tRNA) molecules are approximately 80 nucleotides in length. Their secondary structure includes four short double-helical elements and three loops (D, anti-codon, and T loops). Further hydrogen bonds mediate the characteristic L-shaped molecular structure. tRNAs have two regions of fundamental functional importance: the anti-codon, which is responsible for specific mRNA codon recognition, and the 3' end, to which the tRNAs corresponding amino acid is attached (by aminoacyl-tRNA synthetases). tRNAs cope with the degeneracy of the genetic code in two manners: having more than one tRNA (with a specific anti-codon) for a particular amino acid; and 'wobble' base-pairing, i.e. permitting non-standard base-pairing at the 3rd anti-codon position.
Source: RNAcentral
GGAAGUGUGGCCGAGAGGCCGAAGGCGGCGGCUUGCUAAGCCGUAGUUCCGAAAGGGGCCGCAGGUUCGAAUCCUGCCACUUCCGCCA